Molecule: ribosomal RNA, 497 nt
Filed under: uncultured bacterium
Lineage: Bacteria
Description: partial 16S ribosomal RNA
Rfam family: Bacterial small subunit ribosomal RNA
Source: RNAcentral
GACGAACGCUGGCGGCGUGCCUAAUACAUGCAAGUCGAGCGAACAGAUAAGGAGCUUGCUCCUUUGACGUUAGCGGCGGACGGGUGAGUAACACGUGGGUAACCUACCUAUAAGACUGGGAUAACUUCGGGAAACCGGAGCUAAUACCGGAUAACAUUUGGAACCGCAUGGUUCUAAAGUGAAAGAUGGUUUUGCUAUCACUUAUAGAUGGACCCGCGCCGUAUUAGCUAGUUGGUAAGGUAACGGCUUACCAAGGCGACGAUACGUAGCCGACCUGAGAGGGUGAUCGGCCACACUGGAACUGAGACACGGUCCAGACUCCUACGGGAGGCAGCAGUAGGGAAUCUUCCGCAAUGGGCGAAAGCCUGACGGAGCAACGCCGCGUGAGUGAUGAAGGGUUUCGGCUCGUAAAACUCUGUUAUUAGGGAAGAACAAACGUGUAAGUAACUGUGCACGUCUUGACGGUACCUAAUCAGAAAGCCACGGCUAACUACGUG